CUCUUUAGCCCUUCCAUUAUUUGAAGGGGGUGGGAGGCUCUCAAAGGUCCUCUUUAGCUCUGUAUCCUGUGAACUUACAGCUUCUUUUCUCUCCAUUAACUCAGAAACAAAACACUAUGACUUUGCCCACUCUAAAACAAACAAAAUUUUGGAGAAAACAGAAGGAGAACAGCAAUAUGAACAACUGAGAAGUUUUCCAUACUACUGAGUGCCCUGUAAGAGUCCUCUGUCAUCUAUAGGAAUAAAUGCAGCAAUGAGCAGUAAUGAUUCCUGAUCUGAAAUUAUAUGCAACCAAUUCAGAAGACUGAUUUUAUUAUUACCAUCUGUUCGUGGGGUGUUUUGGAGACAGCUUCUGUGCCCCAAUUCCAACGACUUCAAAUCAUUCCUGACCAGCGUACGUCUGUCUUUCCACCCCAGGCCAUGGAGGAUGUCUAUAAUCUUCGAGUGAGUCCUACAGGAAAAUGUAAAGAACCUUCACCAAACGCAUACAGACGUUACAGAAACUUUGCGAAGAGGCUCCUUCCAGCUCUUCAUGGUACUCAUCCAGGCAAGCAUAAUUAGAGUCUACUUAAUGCAGCUGGCUACAGAUCUCUGCUCUUAGCAAAGCCAGACCCAAUAACACAAACACACUUACAUCCAUUUCACCAACGUGAGCAGGGGACCAUUAACUGCUUUGAAGGAGAAGCCACGCCAUAAUCGGCCUGAGAUUAUGAGGAAAUCAUCUCUCUACAAAAUACAGGGUGUAAAAAUAUAGCUCAGUGAUUGAGUCUUUUUCCAUACAACUCUGAGAUAAAAUAGGUUUCCUAUACCUUUUGGAUAAAGAUGACAAAUGAUGUAGCUCAGUUGUAGAACAGGUAAUGGGGCUGCCUCAGAUCAUUCUAGGGCAUAAUUUUAAAGUCAACAAAAGAUCUGUCAAUCAAAUCUUCAAUCCUGGCUUGCCUAGAAACAAUGCUAUAACUACCUUCCUCAGCAGUCUCAAACUGCUUCCUCUACUGCCUUUUCAUCAUAAUCUCAGCAAUAAAAAAUCCUAUGUAUUUUCUAAAACACUUUGGGUCUAUAUAGACUCAAGUGUAGCAAUUAUUCUCCUUGCUUCUGGAGGAAAUAAGGGAGACAGUUUUAGAAAGCAAAUAAUGAAAUAUAAAAAUAUAAGUUUGUGUCUGCCUUAAAAAGACAACAGUGGUGUUCAUUUUACAAAUUACAGAAAGUAAAAUUUAACAAAAUCUGUUUUCUUUGGUAGAUGAUGGAUGAUCAUAUCACAAU
Diceros bicornis minor is the source of this 1260-nucleotide long non-coding RNA. RefSeq lists it as uncharacterized. The transcript is spliced from 3 exons. The record is from RefSeq and is a predicted model, not a curated record. Lineage: Eukaryota; Metazoa; Chordata; Mammalia; Perissodactyla; Rhinocerotidae.